GGGAUAGCUCAGUGGUAGAAGUAUAUGCCUUGAAUGCAGAAAGUCCCAGGUUCAAUUCCUAUUAUCUCCA
Podarcis lilfordi (Lilford's wall lizard) is the source of this 70-nucleotide non-coding RNA. Lineage: Eukaryota; Metazoa; Chordata; Lepidosauria; Squamata; Lacertidae. The record is from the annotation of a GenBank genome assembly.